UGCAAGUCGAACGAGAGAAUUGCUAGCUUGCUAAUAAUUCUCUAGUGGCGCACGGGUGAGUAACACGUGAGUAACCUGCCCCCAAGAGUGGGAUAGCCCCGGGAAACUGGGAUUAAUACCGCAUAAAAUCGCAAGAUUAAAGCAGCAAUGCGCUUGGGGAUGGGCUCGCGUCCUAUUAGUUAGUUGGUGAGGUAACGGCUCACCAAGGCGAUGACGGGUAGCCGGUCUGAGAGGAUGUCCGGCCACACUGGAACUGAGACACGGUCCAGACACCUACGGGUGGCAGCAGUCGAGAAUCAUUCACAAUGGGGGAAACCCUGAUGGUGCGACGCCGCGUGGGGGAAUGAAGGUCUUCGGAUUGUAAACCCCUGUCAUGUGGGAGCAAAUUAAAAAGAUAGUACCACAAGAGGAAGAGACGGCUAACUCUGUGCCAGCAGCCGCGGUAAUACAGAGGUCUCAAGCGUUGUUCGGAAUCACUGGGCGUAAAGCGUGCGUAGGCGGUUUCGUAAGUCGUGUGUGAAAGGCGGGGGCUCAACCCCCGGACUGCACAUGAUACUGCGAGACUAGAGUAAUGGAGGGGGAACCGGAAUUCUCGGUGUAGCAGUGAAAUGCGUAGAUAUCGAGAGGAACACUCGUGGCGAAGGCGGGUUCCUGGACAUUAACUGACGCUGAGGCACGAAGGCCAGGGGAGCGAAAGGGAUUAGAUACCCCUGUAGUCCUGGCAGUAAACGGUGCACGCUUGGUGUGCGGGGAAUCGACCCCCUGCGUGCCGGAGCUAACGCGUUAAGCGUGCCGCCUGGGGAGUACGGUCGCA
Molecule: ribosomal RNA, 814 nt
Filed under: uncultured bacterium
Lineage: Bacteria
Description: bacterial SSU rRNA
Rfam family: Bacterial small subunit ribosomal RNA
Source: RNAcentral